This 298-nucleotide long non-coding RNA is filed under the name Elaeis guineensis (African oil palm). RNAcentral's name for it is "long non-coding RNA (EGUI_LNC051144)". The record is from RNAcentral. Lineage: Eukaryota; Viridiplantae; Streptophyta; Magnoliopsida; Arecales; Arecaceae.
CCUAACAUUUUCCUCAUGCCAAAGAGGGGUGUGCGUCCAAGAGUUGGGAUGCCUCAAGGUCUUUUGCCUUGAAAGGACUCCUAGUUUUACAAGGUUUUGAUUUGGUCAAAGGUUGACAUCAAAAAAGAAGAUAAGGUCUAAGGAGUUUGAGACCUUGAAGGAUUCCUCAUGCCUUAUGUGGAUAGUGCUUCAUAACUCAUGCCCCAACCUUUCUUAUAUUAAGAAGAGGUGCACCUAAAUUCUUUCUCACAGAGGAAAAAGGAGUCCACACCUUUUUGGUUCCAUGCCCCAACCCUCC